Molecule: long non-coding RNA, 316 nt
Filed under: Eucalyptus grandis
Lineage: Eukaryota; Viridiplantae; Streptophyta; Magnoliopsida; Myrtales; Myrtaceae
Description: long non-coding RNA (EGRA_LNC006616)
Source: RNAcentral
GUGAGCAUGGAGGCCCGGGCCUCCUUGUCUCAAUUGAGGGGGUUAGACGUCCUCUCCGAUUCAUCUCUCAAUUGUGCCGUAUUACUCGGCUCACCACCCACAGCCAUUGGAGCAGCCAUAACAUACCCAGCCGGCUAAACCCAGACCUCUACACAUCAGCCAUCUAGAGAGCAAGAGACUAACCGGUCGGACGCCUCGCACCUCUCGGGUUGGCUGGACGCAGCAAGGACGGGGCAGGGUGGAGGACCAACAGACCGUUCAGGAGCAAGGCGGCUUACCUGACGCCCUCUUCCCGCUGCAAUCAGGUCCGAGACGC